GAGAGAUGGCUGAGUGGUCGAAAGCGGCGGUCUUGAAAACCGUUGAGGGUGCAAGUCCUCCUGGGGUUCGAAUCCCUAUCUCUC
This 84-nucleotide transfer RNA is filed under the name human gut metagenome. It matches the Rfam family "tRNA". From Rfam's summary of the family: Transfer RNA (tRNA) molecules are approximately 80 nucleotides in length. The record is from RNAcentral.